Molecule: ribosomal RNA, 905 nt
Filed under: uncultured organism
Description: bacterial SSU rRNA
Rfam family: Bacterial small subunit ribosomal RNA
Source: RNAcentral
GGCGCGCUUAAUGCAUGCAAGUCGAGCGAUGAGGCCCUCUUCGGGGGGUACAUCAGCGGCAGACGGGUGAGUAACACGUAGGUGAUCUACCCCAGAGACGGGGAUAACGGGUGGAAACAUCCGCUAAUACCGGAUAGACUUGUUCGGUCAAAGGGACAAGGAAAGGCUCCGGCGCUCUGGGAGGAGCCUGCGGCCCAUCAGCCAGUUGGCGGGGUAACGGCCCACCAAGGCAAAGACGGGUAGGGGGUGUGAGAGCAUGGCCCCCCACAAUGGGACUGGAACACGGCCCAUACUCCUACGGGAGGCAGCAGCAGGGAAUAUUGCACAAUGGACGGAAGUCUGAUGCAGCGACGCCGCGUGGAUGAAGAAGGCCCUCGGGUUGUAAAAUCCUUUACAGGGGGAAGAGGAAGGACGGUACCCCUGGAACAAGUGUCGGCUAACUACGUGCCAGCAGCCGCGGUAAGACGUAGGACACAAGCGUUAUCCGGAUUUACUGGGCGUAAAGCGUCUGCAGGCGGACAGGUAAGUUGGGCGUGAAAGCUCCGGGCCCAACCCGGAGAGGUCGUUCAAUACUGCGCGUCUAGAGGGUGUCAGAGGGGAGUGGAAUUUCCGGAGUAGCGGUAAAAUGCGCAGAGAUCGGAAAGAACACCAAUGGCGAAGGCAGCUCCCUGGGGCAACCCUGACGCUAAGAGACGAAAGCUAGGGGAGCGAACAGGAUUAGAGACCCUGGUAGUCCUAGCCCUAAACGAUGGAUGCUGGAUGUGGGGCCAUAGCGCUCCGUGUCGAAGCGAACGCGUUAAGCAUCCCGCCUGGGGACUACGGCCGCAAGGUUAAAACUCAAACGAAUGGGCGGGACCCCGCACAAGCAGCGGAGCGUGUGGUUUAAUUCGAUGCUACACGAAGAA